GCCGGUUUCCGUGCUCCUCACACAACGCUUGUGGACUCUGCUGCCCUCCGGAAUCAUGAGCCCCAGACUAAAUGCUUUCUUUCACAUCCUCAUGUGAUCUGAAACUCACUGCAGUGAAAACAGAAGGGAACGGUCCUGUCAGGAGAAUGAGCCCCUGCAGUUACCAGAGCUUCUUUACAGGAGACUGGAGAGAUGGC
Rattus rattus (black rat) is the source of this 197-nucleotide long non-coding RNA. RefSeq lists it as uncharacterized. The record is from RefSeq and is a predicted model, not a curated record. The transcript has 3 exons. NCBI's taxonomy places the organism in Eukaryota, Metazoa, Chordata, Mammalia, Rodentia, Muridae.